Molecule: long non-coding RNA, 1515 nt
Filed under: Anolis carolinensis (green anole)
Lineage: Eukaryota; Metazoa; Chordata; Lepidosauria; Squamata; Anolidae
Description: lncRNA (ENSACAG00000037802.1)
Source: RNAcentral
ACGCAUUAUGUAUGAGGGUUAUCCAGAAAGUAGAUUACGUUUUGGAAUAAAAAAUGAACAAAGUAUAGGAGAAAACAUUUACCAUAUGCAGUUGAAAGCUACACCCAAAUACCACUUCUCAACAUAGUCGCCAUUCAAAUCUAGGUACUUAUCAUAGCGGUGAAAGAGCUUGGCAACUCCUUCCCCACAAAACUCUGCCACUUGCGUCCUCAACCAACUGGUCACCCCUUCCCGCAGCCACGCAUCGUCGCCAAAACGCUGCGUUGAGGAUGCAAUUGGCAGGGCGGACUCGGGGCGGCUAACCCAGGACAAAGGCCUGAAAACAAACAAGUACAAGGCAUAUCACAAAAAUAAAACACAGUGAGAUCAACAUUAUUAAAACCAUACAAUUACAUUAAUCAUAAGAACACAUUAAAAGCAUAAAAUGGGCAAAACAAAAUAAGAUAAGAUAAAAUGAACCACCAGGUUGAUGGAGGGGGAUGGUGUGAAGGGGACAUUGAACUAAAGUGCAGUAGUAUAAAGUGCAGUCCAUUGCAGCCACUGCUUCUUGUCCUUUCAGAGUUCCUUGCGGUACGAAGACGGCCUGGAGGAGACCCCCGAGGGCCCCCCUGGGAAGGAGCGCAGAAAGGGGGAGGACGGCCGGCGCGGGCCGCGGCGCUCCCUUGGAUACGUCUCAGUUUUGGCGGCAUCGGCGGUGGAGAGCGGCAGCUCCCAGCAUCCCCCAGUCGCAGCCAAAGUGGAGAAGGAGGAGUUGCAGACGACCCACAGCAGUGUGUCCAGCGUGUCCGGCCUGCAGCUCUCCUCCCUGUUGGUGGGACCGGUUGAAGGAGGAGGAGGGUGCAGCGGAGGGGAGACCCCCACCAGCCUGGGCGAGAGGAGCGUCUUCAAAGCCCGCUUCCUGGAAAACCUGGCCGCUUCCCAGAAGGAGAAGCUGAUUGCCAUCUCCCAGGGCCGGGCAGAAGUCCUGGCCGAAGCCACUCCAAGCCCCGAGCAGCUUGGACCAGGAAAGUGGAGCGAAGGGGCUGCGCAGGGUGCCAACGAGGAAGAGCCAAGGACGCCGUCACUUGCGGGUUCCUGCGAUGACACAGAGGUCGAGGAGCCACCCCCUGCCGCCCGGUGCCCCCCUCCAUUGAGGACCCCGACUCCUCCUGAGAAGAAGGGCCCCCAAUGCCAACACCAGCAGCAUUCGCCUCCAUGGACGCAGACCCCGCUUUUGCAUGCAGAAGAGAGUCGAGGUCGCCUUCUUGAAGAGGAAAAAGAGGACUCCAGAAGCGGAAGGCGUCCAGUUGCCGGCCGUCCGGGCAACUGAGGGCACAGUUCAGCCUGGAUGCUGAGUCCAGCCUGCAGAGCCUGGAGCGGGACACUGCUGGGCCCCUUCGGGGAAGGACAUCGGGGGUCCCUCUGACCCUCCAACACUGAAGAUUCGUGACCUGGACUUCUCGGACUUUGGGCGAAGAGGAGGACGACGAUGUCACGGAGGAGGAGGAAGAGGCCGAAUACUGUCCUGGGGGGCCC